This is a long non-coding RNA of Limulus polyphemus (Atlantic horseshoe crab), 337 nucleotides long. RefSeq lists it as uncharacterized. Lineage: Eukaryota; Metazoa; Arthropoda; Merostomata; Xiphosura; Limulidae. The transcript has 3 exons. The record is from RefSeq and is a predicted model, not a curated record.
CUUUUCAGCCAUCCAGAGCGUCCGAAAGUCGAAAAUCGGCGAAUGAUAGCAAAGAAGUUCGUGACGACAAAUACUAACAACGACUUGCAAGUGAUUAUCAGGACUGAUUACCUGUAUAGGUUCUGCCUACAGCAACUGCCAUGUGACACAACCAUGCCUUGAACGGAGAGGCUUAAACCGGCGACAACCGACAGUAGCUUUAAACACACACGCUUCCUCUAUAUCUCGUAGCCUGUGAAUUUCACCAAAGUCGGGAAAAUCCACGUACUCUUAUCCUGAAGCUGUACAUGAGCCCACAUCAUCUGCCGGACUCAUAGACUGUCGGAAUAUAGGUCCA